Long non-coding RNA from Canis lupus familiaris (dog), 1316 nucleotides. RefSeq lists it as uncharacterized. Lineage: Eukaryota; Metazoa; Chordata; Mammalia; Carnivora; Canidae. The transcript is spliced from 3 exons. The record is from RefSeq and is a predicted model, not a curated record.
AGUGCUUGCUGAGCUGAGCCAACUUCCUGUCCCUCUGUUCUUUCCUUACUCUUCCCAGAAAACUUCUUCCCAUGAACCAAAAGCUUCCUCUGUUGCCAUGGAGACCGCCAAGCCAUUCUGAUUCCUGAAAUCUCUUGUGGCCUGUUUUGUCCUCCUUGGAAAUUUUCUGGAUCAUCAUUUUGUCCUUGACAUUUUGAAAUUUCAUGUUGCAGUGUCCUGAGGCCAGAUUUCUCAUUCAUUUCACAGAUAUUGAAAUGAGGCUGUUUGAGGGCCCUGUGGUGGAAAUUCCAGAUGUCAUUGAUCCUCCUCGGCAGAGUUUGCUGGAACCUGAAGUUGGAGAGCCUCCCCUCGCUCUCGGCUGGGCCAGCACACCUAGUAUGCUGUACAUUUGUGUGUCCCUCUGUGGGAGUGGGGGCACAGCCUGGGUUUCUCAUGGGGGGAGUUACUCCCCACUAAGGCCUGGGAGAGGCCCAAAGAAUAGGAGGGGGCAGGAGUCUCUCCUAGUUCAAUCCUCCCCUGCCAGCCCCCAACUCAGCCUGGCCAGGGUCUUCUACCUGUGUCCUACUGGCUGAGCCCUCAGACAUGCCUUGGCCCUAUUUCCUCUCUCAAGGUCCCAGGCCCCUGACAUUCACUUUAGAGGUCAGCGUGAGCAUGGUGGGCACCCUGAUUUGGUGGGGGCAAGGCCAUGUUAUCCAGUGCCCUUCAGGGAACCCAGCAAGGGUUCAAGUCUUCCUCGUCUGUGGGGGCAGAAACCACACACCCAGCCAGAGAUUGUGAUGUCUAGGUCCAGCACUCAUUCUGGGCACUUGGCUCUUCCCAUUGGUCCCUAGAAGGGAAGCAGCUGCCAAGCACCUUGAUUCCCCUCCCCCAGGUUAAGGGUCAGUACAAAAUGGUGGCUUCUGAGGGUCCAGAGCUGAGAGAGGCAGGGACAGUCUGUACAGGCAGUGGGCCACGUGGAGGGCGGGGGUAACUAGUGAUAUGGGGAUGCCAGGCGAGUGGUCAAGAAAGAAUUCCUGAGACGUUUUCAAUGCAAAAAGUUUCUUUUAUUAUAGCACAGGGACAGGACCUCUGGGCAGAAAGAGGUGCACCUGUGACUGUGAGGAGUGAGGGGUUGAAGAUAGCAUAGGUCUCUAAGGAAUUUGGAAGCCAAGUUUCCAAGACCUUGAGGGCUACCUAUUGUUAAGAAAAGGCUAUUCGGGGAUCCCUGGGUGGCGCAGCGGUUUGGCGCCUGCCUUUGGCCCAGGGCGCGAUCUUGAAGACCCAGGAUCGAAUCCCACGUUGGGCUCUUGGUGCAUGGAGCCUGCUUCUCCCUCUGC